UUGCAAUGAUGACUUAUAAAUCUGUCAAUCCCCUGAGGAUGAUCAUUGAUGUCUCCUUCUAUCUGAGCAA
Perognathus longimembris pacificus (Pacific pocket mouse) is the source of this 70-nucleotide small nucleolar RNA. RefSeq annotates it as small nucleolar RNA SNORD110. The record is from RefSeq and is a predicted model, not a curated record. The transcript has a single exon. Lineage: Eukaryota; Metazoa; Chordata; Mammalia; Rodentia; Heteromyidae.